GAGUGGUUAAGGCGAUGGACUGCUAAUCCAUUGUGCUCUGCACGCGUGGGUUCGAAUCCCAUCCUCGUCGUCAGUUCUCCCACUACGUCGGCGGGCUGAGGUUUUAGCUACUUAACGAGCGAUUCUGAGGUUUUAGCUCCUUCACGAGAGAUUCGUCAGCAGUUGGAAGUGUCGGUGUAAGAAAAACAAAAACUGGCGUAAUGAGAUGAGGAACCUGACGUAGAGACCAAACUGAUUGUUCUUUAAAAAAUCACAUAAUGAGCCUUUCAUGGAAACCAAGUUCUUUCAGAUCAUGUGGUUCUGGUGAUGGGAUCUUUCCAACAUGUUCAAUCCUGUGACCGACUCUGUGACUUUUGAUAGCUAGAAAAUCCUUCUGAAGUAUAUUGUUUAUGAGCCAGCGGAUCUGCCGGAGCCUCAUGAGGAUUGAGGCCUACAAAGCAUGAUUUUGAAUUUCAUUGAACAAUAUCUGGUUUAUACAGUAUAUGUAUUUUGGAGAUGGUUUACCAACUUCUAAAUAAAAAAGACCACGAGACCAUUAAAAAUUA
Molecule: long non-coding RNA, 545 nt
Organism: Canis lupus familiaris (dog)
Lineage: Eukaryota; Metazoa; Chordata; Mammalia; Carnivora; Canidae
Exons: 2
Source: RefSeq, a predicted model, not a curated record